This 497-nucleotide ribosomal RNA is filed under the name uncultured bacterium. Its description in RNAcentral is "partial 16S ribosomal RNA". It matches the Rfam family "Bacterial small subunit ribosomal RNA", at positions 28 to 507 of the family's 1533-position model. The record is from RNAcentral.
GAUGAACGCUGGCGGCGUGCCUAAUACAUGCAAGUCGAGCGAACAGACGAGGAGCUUGCUCCUCUGACGUUAGCGGCGGACGGGUGAGUAACACGUGGAUAACCUACCUAUAAGACUGGGAUAACUUCGGGAAACCGGAGCUAAUACCGGAUAAUAUAUUGAACCGCAUGGUUCAAUAGUGAAAGACGGUUUUGCUGUCACUUAUAGAUGGAUCCGCGCCGCAUUAGCUAGUUGGUAAGGUAACGGCUUACCAAGGCAACGAUGCGUAGCCGACCUGAGAGGGUGAUCGGCCACACUGGAACUGAGCCACGGUCCAGACUCCUACGGGAGGCAGCAGUAGGGAAUCUUCCGCAAUGGGAGAAAGCUUGACGGAGCAACGCCGCGUGAGUGAUGAAGGUCUUCGGAUCGUAAAACUCUGUUAUUAGGGAAGAACAAAUGUGUAAGUAACUAUGCACGUCUUGACGGUACCUAAUCAGAAAGCCACGGCUAACUACGUG